UCCGAAGUGGUGUAACGGUUAGCAUUUACGGCUCUCACGGUCACUUCGAUCCAGUGCCUGUAAGAUCGGAGUUCAAUUCUCCGCUUCGGAA
This 91-nucleotide transfer RNA is filed under the name Zymoseptoria tritici IPO323. RNAcentral describes it as "Zymoseptoria tritici tRNA-Glu for anticodon CUC". It matches the Rfam family "tRNA". Rfam says of the family: Transfer RNA (tRNA) molecules are approximately 80 nucleotides in length. The record is from RNAcentral. Lineage: Eukaryota; Fungi; Ascomycota; Dothideomycetes; Mycosphaerellales; Mycosphaerellaceae.